CCGUGGUGGGCCGGGCCGGGUCGAGCCGGGUUACCCGUUUUGACAGCUCUAGUAUUUUAAUAAUUUUCAUUCUAGAAAAAAAACCUCCCAAACCCUUACUCAUCUCUCUCAUUCCUCUCAACCCUUUCUCUUUCAUCUCUUUCGCUCCAACCUUUUAUCUGUCAUCCCUACCGUAGCCCCAAUUGAAAAAAUCAGAAACCCUCGCCUAACCCUAAUCCACCUUCCUCACUUAUCCAAUUUGUAUCUCUCUCAUCUCCAUACUCUUUCUCACCCACACACAGCAACCCGUGACACCACAAUUUGUUGCUCUUGAUCUGUUUGUUCAUUUGUAAGAUUAUUCAUUGUAUCUUAGUAUGUUUAUUUAUUGUUAUUAAUUUGGUAUUACAU
This 387-nucleotide long non-coding RNA is filed under the name Vigna radiata. RNAcentral describes it as "long non-coding RNA (VRAD_LNC001874)". Lineage: Eukaryota; Viridiplantae; Streptophyta; Magnoliopsida; Fabales; Fabaceae. The record is from RNAcentral.